CGGGGCGUAGUCUAGCUUGGCUAGGAUGGAGGCCUCGGGGGCAGACCCGGGUUCAAAUCCCGGCGCCCCCA
The sequence is a transfer RNA, 71 nucleotides long. It matches the Rfam family "tRNA". From Rfam's summary of the family: Transfer RNA (tRNA) molecules are approximately 80 nucleotides in length. Their secondary structure includes four short double-helical elements and three loops (D, anti-codon, and T loops). Further hydrogen bonds mediate the characteristic L-shaped molecular structure. tRNAs have two regions of fundamental functional importance: the anti-codon, which is responsible for specific mRNA codon recognition, and the 3' end, to which the tRNAs corresponding amino acid is attached (by aminoacyl-tRNA synthetases). tRNAs cope with the degeneracy of the genetic code in two manners: having more than one tRNA (with a specific anti-codon) for a particular amino acid; and 'wobble' base-pairing, i.e. permitting non-standard base-pairing at the 3rd anti-codon position.